ACGUUCGUCUUCCUUCUCUUUCGGUUCAGCUUCCAAGUUUCUGCAAUAUAUAACUCAAAUCCCGGCAGUGCCUUCAGUGACCACCUCAACAGAUCAUGACUAAAUCAUUCAGUCUCACGUGUUUGUGAAGUCCCACAAAUCGAAUGCUUACUUCAAGAGGUACCAAGUGAAGUUCAAUAGAAGAAGAGGUAUCAGGAGAAUCUGAUUAGAGAGAAUUAUUCGUUCUCUAACACUGUGAGGAGACUUCAAAGAGAUGUGGUGAUUUGACUCAGUUUCUAAUUUCUGAAGUUACGUGGAAUUGAUUGAAUUUAGCGAAUUUGGUGCAUAUUGCGGGAUUCACGAAGACGCUUAUGAUGUCUCUUCAAGAUGACGACCAAUAUUUAUGAAACUUCACUUUCACUUUCUUCAAUUUGGUUUAAAGAAAUCUUUAAUUGAUUCAUCUUCGGGUUUCAAACAGACAGGAACAACGCAAAUCAUGGCUAAGCCAACACCAAACGAUGAUGAUACAAAGUUUCAACUUUCAAGACAUUCAUCAAUCCAAUCUCAAACUUCUGAAGCUAUUUAAUCAGCUACAGUGGACAAUGAAAACGAUGGUAUUGUGUAAAUCUCAAGCCUCAAGCCAUUAAAACAUUUUCAGUGCCCGGUUUCAGGGCUUGAGUUCAACGGAAAGUACAAGUUUUUCGCUUAGAGGGGAUGCAGACACGUGAUGAGCGCAAAGGCGUUGAAGGAAGUGAAGUCUUCUUCGUGUUUGGUGUGUCACGCAGAUGUCACAGAUUCUGAUAAGAUUGUGAUAAACGGUACAGAGGAAGGAGGUUGGUAUUUUGAGGGAGAAAGCAGGAGAGGGAGAAAAAAGGCGCCUCAAAGAAGAGCAAAAAUGGCUUAGCCGUGGUGGCUGAUACAGGAGGAAAGGUCGCAAAGAGACAGAUGGAUGAUGUGAAUGUGAAUGGCAAUGGCAUUACUGUGAAGAAAUUCAAGGCGGGAGAUGCAGUGCCGGUUAAUGCUACCAAGGAAGUCUACGCUUCCCUCUUUGCUUCCUCCAAGAAGAAGUCUGAUUUCAGGGAGACUUACUCUUGCAGAUCACUCCCUCUCGGUAGGAAUUGAUUUGGUGGAGACAUGUUGUUACCUGCUUUCCUUUGUAAUUUGCUCUGGUUAUAUUUGAUAUAUCAAUCAAUUUACAUUUGUUAUUUCGAUAUUGGAUAAUCUCAUUUUUUUG
Eutrema salsugineum is the source of this 1213-nucleotide long non-coding RNA. RefSeq lists it as uncharacterized. The record is from RefSeq and is a predicted model, not a curated record. NCBI's taxonomy places the organism in Eukaryota, Viridiplantae, Streptophyta, Magnoliopsida, Brassicales, Brassicaceae. The transcript is spliced from 4 exons.